This 253-nucleotide ribosomal RNA is filed under the name uncultured bacterium. Its description in RNAcentral is "partial 16S ribosomal RNA". It matches the Rfam family "Bacterial small subunit ribosomal RNA", at positions 524 to 776 of the family's 1533-position model. The record is from RNAcentral.
UACAGAGGGUGCUAGCGUUGUUCGGAAUCAUUGGGCGUAAAGGGCGUGUAGGCGGUUUGUUAAGUCAUGUGUGAAAUCCCUCGGCUCAACCGGGGAACGACGCAUGAAACUGGCAAGCUAGAGUACCAAAGAGGGGGGUGGAAUUCCCGGUGUAGCGGUGAAAUGCGUAGAUAUCGGAAGGAACACCGGUGGCGAAAGCGGCGCGCUGGAUCCCUUCUGACGCUGAGGCGCGAAAGCCAGGGGAGCGAACGGG